AGGACCCUCCUCCAACAGAGACCCACGCCCCGGAGGUUAAAUCCCCUGUGAACGCUGUGGAAACGGAAGAUAAGAAGCCAGAUGAUCCGGUGGUGAAGGAGGAGCCCAUGGAAACAGAUAACAAAGCUGAUGUAGAGAAGGUGGAAGAGAAGACCCCUGCAGAGCCCCCCAGCGAGCCCCCAACCAUCAACCUAGAUGAGAAAGAAGAGAAGAAAGAGGAGGAAAAGAAGGACGUGGUGAUGCUGCAGAACGGGGAGACGCUGAAAGACCCACCUGAGGACCGCCACAAGAAAGCCCUGAAGCAGCGGUUCAUGUUCAAC
This is a long non-coding RNA of Gekko japonicus, 320 nucleotides long. RefSeq lists it as uncharacterized. Lineage: Eukaryota; Metazoa; Chordata; Lepidosauria; Squamata; Gekkonidae. The record is from RefSeq and is a predicted model, not a curated record. The transcript is spliced from 3 exons.